AUGCCUCCCAAGCGCAAGUCCCCGGUUGCGACGGCGGCAGCCCCCGCAAUGCCGCCUAGGAUGACCCGGAGCAUGGCCGCCGGGAAGCGGGGCGCCGACGCUCCGGCUAAAAAGGAGGAAGCAGAGGCGGCGCCGGCGGCGGCCGGGGGGAAGGGCAGGAAGAAGGCCAAGAAGGAGGUGUCUGCGGUGGAGACGGUACUGUCGCCUCCUGCAGCGGCCAAGCAGAAGGUGAAGAAAAAUGCCAAGAAGGAGGUGGUGGCGGCCGCGGUAGAUGAUGGCGGUGCUGGCGCUGAAAGCGGGAAGCGCGUCAUCGUCGAGGCCUGGACAAAAUGGAUCUCCCAGACCUCAACUUCACUCCACCUGCAGAAGAUGUGGACGAAAUGGAUGAAGAAGCAGAAAAUGAAAUGGAAGGAGAUGGAGUGGAAGGAGAUGAAAUUGUUCAAAAUCCAGGUGCUGGGCAAAUUGGUAGAAAAAAUAAAACCCUCAAUGACCAGCAAAAAUUUGUUGCUUAUGUAG
Molecule: ribosomal RNA, 516 nt
Filed under: Triticum aestivum (bread wheat)
Lineage: Eukaryota; Viridiplantae; Streptophyta; Magnoliopsida; Poales; Poaceae
Description: partial small subunit ribosomal RNA
Source: RNAcentral